GACCUCGUGAUCAUUAAGAUUUUGAACACACAUUGUGCUUUCGGGUAUUCCCGGUAGCAUGCUUGUCUGAGUGUCUGCGGAUCCCACUCAGCGCUGGCCUCGUGCUGGCUGCUGGUUGUUUUGGCUUUGACUGGCACUAUUGCCUGUCUCUGCUUAAGUUCUACUGUAUAGUACGUGCAUAGACGUGGAAGGCUUGACCUGUCUAGUUAAAGACGGCGUUGACACUCUUGUCUAUCUCUGGUAGAUUGUACUUUUAGUAUGAAAUAUCUGGAGUUUACUAUGAGUUUGUUUUCAGCUGUUUUGAAACUGAUGGAACGAGCACUUCUAUGCCUAACAAACUGUUUACAGUCUGUUAUACAUUUCCGGAUCUCAGAUCAAGCAAGAGGACCCGCCGAAUUUAAGCAUAUAAUUAAGCGGAGGAAAAGAAACUAACUAGGAUUCCCUCAGUAACGGCGAGUGAAGCGGGACUAGCUCAGGAUGUGAAUCUGCGCUUUUAUGGCGCCGAAUUGUGGUCUGUAGACUUUGACAUUAUUUGCCGGGCCAAGUUCCUUGGAAAAGGACAGCUGAGAGGGUGACACUCCCGUCCGCCUGGCAGAGUGAGUCAUUUGUCAACGAGUCGAGUUGUUUGGGAUUGCAGCUCUAAUUUGGUGGUAAAUUCCAUCUAAAGCUAAAUAUUGGUGGGAGACCGAUAGCGUACAAGUACCGUGAGGGAAAGAUGCAAAGAACUUUGAAAAGAGAGUUAAAGAGUACCUGAAACUGCUGAAACGGAAGCGAAGGAAACCAGUGUUUGUUUGUUCAUAUUUCCCUAGCCACUUGUGGCUUGGGCGCUGUGGGCUUGCGUGAGUUUGGGUUGGUUGAUUCCUUUGGAAGAGCGCAGUCAGAGUUGAUGUCUGUUGCUAGCACUGGAUUGACUG
This 914-nucleotide ribosomal RNA is filed under the name Pseudo-nitzschia multiseries. RNAcentral describes it as "eukaryotic LSU rRNA". The stretch from base 365 to 914 matches the Rfam family "Eukaryotic large subunit ribosomal RNA", at positions 1 to 565 of the family's 3401-position model. The record is from RNAcentral. Lineage: Eukaryota; Bacillariophyta; Bacillariophyceae; Bacillariales; Bacillariaceae.